Molecule: ribosomal RNA, 492 nt
Filed under: uncultured bacterium
Lineage: Bacteria
Description: partial 16S ribosomal RNA
Rfam family: Bacterial small subunit ribosomal RNA
Source: RNAcentral
AGUGAACGCUGGCGGUAGGCCUAACACAUGCAAGUCGAACGGCAGCACAGUAAGAGCUUGCUCUUACGGGUGGCGAGUGGCGGACGGGUGAGGAAUACAUCGGAAUCUACUUUUUCGUGGGGGAUAACGUAGGGAAACUUACGCUAAUACCGCAUACGACCUACGGGUGAAAGCAGGGGAUCUUCGGACCUUGCGCGAUUGAAUGAGCCGAUGUCGGAUUAGCUAGUUGGGCGGGUAAAGGCCCACCAAGGCGAGGAUCCGUAGCUGGUCUGAGAGGAUGGUAGGCGACACUGGAACGGAGCCACGGACAAGACUCCUGAGGGAGGCAGCAGUCGGGAAUAUUGGGCAAUGGGCGGAAGCCUGACCCAGCCAUACCGAGUGGGUGAAGAAGGCCUUCGGGUUGUAAAGCCCUUUUGUUGGGAAAGAAAAGCAGCCGGUUGAUACGCCGCUGUUCUGACGGUACCGAAUGAAUAAGCACCGGCUAACUUCGUG